RNAcentral lists this ribosomal RNA (435 nucleotides) under Triticum aestivum (bread wheat). RNAcentral's name for it is "partial small subunit ribosomal RNA". Lineage: Eukaryota; Viridiplantae; Streptophyta; Magnoliopsida; Poales; Poaceae. The record is from RNAcentral.
AUGUGUGACCGUUCUUAUCCCAAGAAACUUGCGUUCCAGUAUUUAGAAGAUCUAAAAAAUGAAUUCGAGAGGGUCAAUGGCAGCCAAAUUGAAACUGCUGCAAGGCCAUAUGCUUUCAUCAAAUUUGAUACAUUCAUACAGAAAACCAGGAAACUAUAUUUGGAUACCAGAACCCAAAGGAACCUUGCCAAGUUGAAUGAUGAGCUCUACGAGGUGCACCAGAUUAUGACUCGCAAUGUUCAAGCAGUUCUUGGUGUGGGUGAAAAACUAGAUCAGGUGAGUCAAAUGUCUAGUAGGUUGACCUCUGAUACGAGAAUGUAUGCAGACAAGGCAAAGGAUCUCAAUCGCCAGGCCUUGAUUCGGAAGUAUGCCCCUGUGGCCAUUGUGAUGGGGAUAGUACUGAUGCUCUUUUGGAUCAAGAACAAGAUAUGGUGA